AACGAACGCUGGCGGCAGGCUUAACACAUGCAAGUCGAACGCCCCGCAAGGGGAGUGGCAGACGGGUGAGUAACGCGUGGGAAUCUACCCAUCCCUACGGAAUAACGCAUGGAAACGUGUGCUAAUACCGUAUACGCCCUACGGGGGAAAGAUUUAUCGGGGAUGGAUGAGCCCGCGUUGGAUUAGCUAGUUGGUGGGGUAAAGGCCUACCAAGGCGACGAUCCAUAGCCGGUCUGAGAGGAUGAUCAGCCACAUUGGGACUGAGACACGGCCCAAACUCCUACGGGAAGCAGCAGUGGGGAAUAUUGGACAAUGGGCGCAAGCCUGAUCCAGCCAUGCCGCGUGAGUGAUGAAGGCCUUAGGGUUGUAAAGCUCUUUCACCGGAGAAGAUAAUGACGGUAUCCGGAGAAGAAGCCCCGGCUAACUUCGUG
Molecule: ribosomal RNA, 431 nt
Filed under: uncultured bacterium
Lineage: Bacteria
Description: partial 16S ribosomal RNA
Rfam family: Bacterial small subunit ribosomal RNA
Source: RNAcentral